Mesocricetus auratus (golden hamster) is the source of this 673-nucleotide long non-coding RNA. RefSeq lists it as uncharacterized. The transcript is spliced from 3 exons. NCBI's taxonomy places the organism in Eukaryota, Metazoa, Chordata, Mammalia, Rodentia, Cricetidae. The record is from RefSeq and is a predicted model, not a curated record.
AUCGCGUCUGCGGGCCAGGCGAGGAUGGGAUGGAGAGGAAGGAUCUGUUCAGACACAAGGGAAGCGAGCUCCGCCGCCGCCGGGGGGAAGCUCUGCGCUCACGGGCCGAAUCUGCCCUCCACGGGGUCUCUGCCAUCUCUGCUGCUGACUUGGUCCCCAGGUGCUUGGUCCGCCCAGCUGAGAACCUGGCUCCACAGGUCCUUGGCUGAGAAGAUAGCAUUUCAGCAAAGGCUUGAAGAAGAUGAAGUGGUGAGCUGUGAGUGUGAAUGAGGUCAGCAACAGAUCCAAAGUCCACUGAAAACUGCUGGAUGGUGCUAUGGCUACUGAUGGUUUGGAGAGAAAUCAAUCUUGCUGGCCUACAAGUGUUCAGACUAUUGUAAAUACUAAAUACCCAAAGAAGAUACAUUUCACCUGAGUUAGACCAGCACAAAAUUCAAGCCAUUUUAGUUCUGAUUUGAGAAGGAAUGUACAAACCCAAUCACAUCCUCUCCUUCUUGGAAAUCAACAUGUCUUAUAAAUUAAGAGAAUUCCAGUCAUUAGAUUUUAGGACGAUUCUUUAAAGAAAGGAAUUAAAGAAGACACCAGAAAAUGGAAAGAUCUCCCAUGCUCUUGGAUAGGUAGGAUCAACGUAGUAAAAAUGGCAAUCCUGCCAAAAGCAGUCUACAGAUUCAAU